Molecule: ribosomal RNA, 497 nt
Filed under: uncultured bacterium
Lineage: Bacteria
Description: partial 16S ribosomal RNA
Rfam family: Bacterial small subunit ribosomal RNA
Source: RNAcentral
GAUGAACGCUGGCGGCGUGCCUAAUACAUGCAAGUCGAGCGAACAGACGAGGAGCUUGCUCCUCUGACGUUAGCGGCGGACGGGUGAGUAACACGUGGAUAACCUACCUAUAAGACUGGGAUAACUUCGGGAAACCGGAGCUAAUACCGGAUAAUAUAUUGAACCGCAUGGUUCAAUAGUGAAAGACGGUUUUGCUGUCACUUAUAGAUGGAUCCGCGCUGCAUUAGCUAGUUGGUAAGGUAACGGCUUACCACGGCGACGAUGCGUAGCCGACCUGAGAGGGUGAUCGGCCACACUGGAACUGAGACACGGUCCAGACUCCUACGGGAGGCAGCAGUAGGGAAUCUUCCGCAAUGGGCGAAAGCCUGACGGAGCAACGCCGCGUGAGUGAUGAAGGUCUUCGGAUCGUAAAACUCUGUUAUUAGGGAAGAACAAAUGUGUAAGUAACGAUGCACGUCUUGACGGUACCUAAUCAGAAAGCCACGGCUAACUACGUG